Molecule: ribosomal RNA, 328 nt
Filed under: uncultured beta proteobacterium
Lineage: Bacteria; Pseudomonadati; Pseudomonadota; Betaproteobacteria
Description: bacterial SSU rRNA
Rfam family: Bacterial small subunit ribosomal RNA
Source: RNAcentral
GGUGGCGAGUGGCGAACGGGUGAGUAAUAUAUCGGAACGUGCCUUAUAGUGGGGGAUAACGCAGCGAAAGUUGCGCUAAUACCGCAUACGCCCUAAGGGGGAAAGCGGGGGAUCGUAAGACCUCGCGCUAUUAGAGCGGCCGAUAUCUGAUUAGCUAGUUGGUGAGGUAAAGGCUCACCAAGGCGACGAUCAGUAGCUGGUCUGAGAGGACGAUCAGCCACACUGGGACUGAGACACGGCCCAGACUCCUACGGGAGGUAGCAGUGGGGAAUUUUGGACAAUGGGGGCAACCCUGAUCCAGCAAUGCCGCGUGAGUGAAGAAGGCCUU